CCUGAGAAACCCAAAAGAUCGAAUGGGGAGAUUCAUCGUCAGCGAUUUCGGCGCGUGUGCGGUUCGCGAUGCCGGAGGCCUCGGUCUCCAGGCACGCGUCCGCAUGUUUUUCAUUGCCGUAAACGUCGGCGUGCACUUCUCCCCUAGUAGGACGUCGCGACCCGUUGGGUGUCGGUCUACGGCCCGGGCGGUAGCCUGUCUCGUGUUCGCUUCGCGGCGUUACGCGGUUCAGACCCCCGGAUGCCCGACCGGCUGCUCGGCGGUACGCGCACGGUAUCUGGCCGCAAACAUUCGAACUGCGUCCGGCCCGUCGCAAGCGAGGCAAGUGUUUCCCGGCUGUACGGAUCUAAUGCCGUCACCGGGCCUUGCCAGCUGUUGGUUGACGGUGUCCUAGGACAGGCCAAUGCAAUUAUGAUACCGGUCGGCGACNCUACUGCUUUGGGUACUUUCAGGA
This 454-nucleotide ribosomal RNA is filed under the name Agonocryptus chichimecus. RNAcentral's name for it is "partial 28S ribosomal RNA". The record is from RNAcentral. Lineage: Eukaryota; Metazoa; Arthropoda; Insecta; Hymenoptera; Ichneumonidae.